UACAGAGGUCCCGAGCGUUGUUCGGAUUCACUGGGCGUAAAGGGCGCGUAGGUGGCUGGUCAAGUUUGAUGUGAAAGCUCAGGGCUUAACCCUGAAAUGGCAUUGAAUACUGUCGAGCUGGAGGUUUGGAGGGGGGACUGGAAUUCUUGGUGUAGCAGUGAAAUGCGUAGAUAUCAAGAGGAACACCAGUGGCGAAGGCGAGUCCCUGGACAACACCUGACACUGAGGCACGAAAGCUAGGGGAGCAAACAGG
RNAcentral lists this ribosomal RNA (253 nucleotides) under uncultured bacterium. RNAcentral's name for it is "partial 16S ribosomal RNA". It matches the Rfam family "Bacterial small subunit ribosomal RNA", at positions 524 to 776 of the family's 1533-position model. The record is from RNAcentral.